GCCUCAUUAUGAUGAACAAAGUUGAUCAACAAUGUCAGUGUUUCAGGUAAGGCCACAUUAAUAGGGUCAUUUUGAGCAGGUGUGACAAAAACUUGCACUAUAGAGCUUUAAACAUGUCUCAUCAUUGCUUUCUGAGGUAAGCAUUUACAUUCCAUUUCAGUGUAACAGUUUAUAGAGGUUUGGUUCUGUUGUUAUGUAAGUAAAAUCUUAAAAUGAACCUGUUUUUAUACAGAUUGCUGUUGGUUUGUUUGACUCACUCUGUUGUUGGGUGUUUUCCUGGACUGUCUUUUGGAGACAUCGCUGGAAAUGAACCAAAGAUCAAAUUGCAAGCACUGGAAGUUUUCAACAUUGCUGAUUCUUCCAUCCAAAAGCCAAUAAAAGGCACUCUACUAAACAAUUUAGUACAGUUUAACAGCAAAUAUCAGUGGCCCAGAGUCAACUCAGCCCCAUACAGUCAGAAAAGCGAUGGCAAUGCCAAAAACCCAAGCUUUAGACUUACUGAACCAAAAGAUCCUGCAUAUGUUAUGAAUUACCAAAAUAAGAUCUUGUCCAGCAGCAGAAAUAAUCCUGUUGAUUUGUCUAGCGUCAAAUAUAAUAAAGGACAUGAUGCCAAAACAAGCUAUGCUUUCCAAACAGUCCAACAGGAACUCAAUCCCUUCACAGGGAGCCAAUGGAGCUCUAGUGAUACAAAUCUGGGCUUAAGGCUGGUGAAGAUAGAAGGUCCGGUGGACAGAAUGCAUGCAGGAAAUGUGUAUAGAUCUGAGACAUUUGGAUAUCAGCCUAUUUCUAAAUCAGAAAUGCAUUCAGGCAGUCAACAACCAUUACGACUCAAUGAACCCUAUUUGAGGGAAGAUAUCUCCGUCCAACCAGCACAUGCUGAAAGAAUCUCAUCUAAUUACAUGUCCAGAAGCUCCAAUGCAAACCAUAAUAUGAGGUUCAAAAGUGAUGCAAAUGCCAUGUUUGAUCAAUCCAAUCAAAAUGGGCCGAGGAGGGUCAUGCCAAUUAUAGAAGAUUUAUCUUUUCUAGAAGCAAAUCAACAAGUGCACAAAUCAUCGCCACAUGUUUUUUCUGCUGGGACUGCAGCCCUUUCUCAAACUUCCCUGGGGAAUGUGAGAGAUUCAUCUCUUUCUAAGAUUCCCACAGUUCCAAGACUAAUACCUUUAGUUGCAAAAAGGCCAAAUUCAAAUAGAGGUGACCUAAUCUUUCCUUUAAAAAAACUUGUGAUGUUUUCCUCUGAGCCUGAUCAGAUGAAGCAUUCAGAUUCUAGAAGGGUCACCAUUCCACAAGCAAAUCCACAAAACAGCUUAGAGUAUGGAAAUACGAAGUCUUAUACAAACAGCUACACCCUAAAGGACAUUCAAUUGACUUCUGCGCAAAAUGGUUACCAAAACAUUGGACAAAGUUAUCAGGAUGUUGAACCUAUUCAAACACGUCACACUCAGAAGUAUGAUGAAGUGGCUUCAGGUUUAUCUGUUGACAUCCCGUCAACAACCAAUGGUGUCCUUUCUUACAAACAAUUUCUGUCAGAUGAGAAUAACAUCCGAAGCCAGCUUUCUGCAUUAUCUAAACCAUCAAUGCAAGGCACGUAUUUGACCUCCCAAAUACAGUUUCCAAAGAACACUGUGUUAUUUUUGGAACGUGAUAAGAGUGUUAAUCUACCAGACAUCACAAAUGAUUCACUAAUGAAGACAAGUCAGCAUAGCACGCGGCAUAGGACGGAUCUGAAUCCUUCAGGCCAAAGUAUAACCCAUUCGUUAUUUGUUAAAAAGUUUCCGGUGCCAAGUCUCGUGCCAGGCAACACUAUAAAGAGUGCUUACAGUGUUAGUCCAUCCGCGUCUGGCACAUAUAAAGAUUCAGCUGUAUCCACAGAUCAAAACCAUCCAUACUAUAUAUCUCCUAAAAAGCCAUAUGCUUUUAAAGGUUUUGUCCCAACAUCUCUACAAAAAUCCAAAGUGCACUUUGAACAGAAACCUAUCACAAACUCUUUAUUGAAUAUGCAAUAUGUUGCUGCUCAUCCAAGUACCAUUCAAGAGCCCUUAAUUUCUGACCAGUUUAAAAAAAUGCUUUUCCAGUUUGAGGACUUCAAAACAAGCCAAGACAAACAACCAGAUCCUGAUCUGACAGACUCCUUUAAUAACAGACUACAGCUCUCCUUUAAAGAGGGUGGAAGUAACAUGAAGUAUGAUGUUCAAGGUCAAGCUGAAGCCAGGAGUGGCACUGAAUCUUCAAAUAAUGGAGCAGCUUUUCUGCAAAAACACCUUAAAAAGGCAUACAAGGAAUUACCACUUGAGGAAGUUCAGUCAGAAACAUCCAAGAGGUGGACUUCAGCCUUACACAACCUAAGUCAAAUGCCAAAAGUGGGAUCCUCCAUCAGCAGGUUUGUUGGUUCUAAUGCACACUUCUCAACCACUAAAUUUUCCAACAAUCAUGAGAAUCCUAAAUCAGAGAUUAUUCAACCAAUUUACAAGACUCCUCUUAUUAACAAAGCAGUUGCUGUUGUCCAUCCAAUUCACAUGUAUAAAUACAAGGAACCGGAAGCUCCAUUAAAUUCAGCUAAGGAAAUUCUGGGGAAUAGAAACCCAGCUGAAGUAACCCAAUCAGAUAUUAGUGAAAAUGCCAUGAGAUCAAGUCCGACAAGUAGUGUUGUGAUUGGGAAGCUGGUUGAAGUUACAGAAAAAGGAAAAGGAUCUGGAGAAAAUUCAUACUUUCAAAAUUCUUAUUCAGCGCCAUUUACUCAAUCUACAUCAUACAGAUCUACUCAUCUAAAGAGUCACAAAGUGAAUAGAUUUUCCACUAUAUACAGAUCUACUAUUAAACAGUUUGACCCGAUAAAUGAAACAAACAUUGACUUCUAUGCUAUUGACGCAUCCCAGUCAUCAAGUCCCACAAGCAGCUUUGUAAUCGGACGGUUAAUCAAUACCUUUAACAAUGCCUCCACCAAAACAAAUCCCAAAGCAUCUUCAACAAAAACGGCUCUGAACAGUUUUAAGCCAUUUCGAUUUUCAGAUAUAGCUGGUAGUGCUUCUUUCACUAAUGCUAAGCUACAUUCUGCUGCCAUCACGCCAAAGGAAGUUGCGGAUGUCACAAGAGUUUCAAACCACUCUGAUUCAACAGUGAUGGCGGAAAUUAUUGACAGCUCCUCUGUGAUCUCAACAUUAAAAAUCGAAGAUGAUGUUCAAAGCCCGGUGAGUUUCAGUGUCUCUGAGUUUCUGCCAACAGCUGCAAUAGACAUCAGCAUGGAGUCUCGGUCAUCAUUUACAGAAGAAUAUUCUCCAUCUCAAACAAAUUCACAGCUGAAUCAUUCAAAAGUGGAUACUCAUUCAUUUUAUGAGGGAACUUUGAUGCCAGAUAUUACUACCACUUCGGUCUCAGUUACCUCAGAUGUAGACUGGCUUUUUUUAAAUUUGUGAGGUUAACUUGUACAGUAUGAACGUCAAUGGUAAACGUCUUUAGCAGACGGCAGCUUGAAGUGUUUCUCUGUUCUGUAGGUAGAUGGCGCCAGAUCUGUUGUCACGUUCAUUUUGCAUUAAAUGUAAUGAAUGUAAAUUCUGAGCUUCGUUGUUGUUGUUGUUGUUGUUGUUUUUUCAUUACCUCCCAUGUUUACCUCCCAACAGCAUAUGAUGUUGGGAGAAAUAUUAAUUAUACUUAAAUAUUACUUAUUUCUUGCUUGUAUAUUUACUUUUGUCAUGCAAUAUAAGCUUAUUAUGAUUUUUAGGUGUCAAAAAGUAAUAUUUGCACUCAAAUUUAGAUAAUAAAAACCAUUUUUGCAGUCAAACUGCUCAAAUCAUAUUGCAUAAAAAGUCUAAAUUGAAGUUCCAAAAUUGACAUUUCUGAGUGUUGCAGACAAACUAUGAUGUUGUUUGAGCUGUUUAGGAUAAAACAAUUUUAACUUCCCAUUUUAACAUUAAUUUAUUUUUCUUUAAUUUUAGUAUUGAGAUUAGUACUAUACAUUUUUUAAAUACAAUUACUAGUGUUUUUUAGUUUAAAGAAGUGUUUAUGUAACCGGUUCUGCAUUGUACUGUCUAAUUUUUAAGUGGGAGAACUAGACUGAUCAGAAGUUGUGACUGCUCUUUAAUCUCACUCCUCUCCUGUGUGCAGUCAGUGCAGAAAGAGAAAGUGCAGCGCAUUUAGCAUUCACAUGUUUCAAUUAGAAAAAAAAAAAAAAUAAAAUCCUCAAUUUAAGGGAAAACAAAAAUAACAAAGGAAAUGUAGAAAAUAGAGUUUUAAAUAUUAUUUAAACAUUAAAACUACAUUUUUAAAGGUAGAGCAGAAAAGGAAGAGGCUGGUGCAAAACAGGAAGUUAAAACUAAAGCUUCUCUGGAGAUUUAAAGGAGAAGACUCAAACACUAAUACACUUCAGUUAAUACUUAACACACAUUUUGUGUAAUUCUAUAAAUAAAGUGAGCAAUUCUUUCCAUGCCUGUUACACUUACUAGUAACUGGAUGUAUCACAUCAGGGACUAUACUGUGGUAUAAAUAAAAAUGAUAGUAAUAAGGACGCAAAAGAUAUCUAAGACAGGUUUUUAUUAAAUCCACUAGUAGGUUUUGUCAACAGAAUUGAU
Molecule: long non-coding RNA, 4562 nt
Organism: Danio rerio (zebrafish)
Lineage: Eukaryota; Metazoa; Chordata; Actinopteri; Cypriniformes; Danionidae
Source: Ensembl